This 252-nucleotide ribosomal RNA is filed under the name uncultured Erysipelotrichaceae bacterium. Its description in RNAcentral is "partial 16S ribosomal RNA". It matches the Rfam family "Bacterial small subunit ribosomal RNA", at positions 524 to 776 of the family's 1533-position model. Lineage: Bacteria; Bacillati; Bacillota; Erysipelotrichia; Erysipelotrichales; Erysipelotrichaceae. The record is from RNAcentral.
UACGUAGGUGGCAAGCGUUAUCCGGAAUCAUUGGGCGUAAAGGGUGCGUAGGCGGCUUAUUAAGUCUGUAGUGAAAUCGUAGAGCUCAACUCUAUCAAGCUACGGAAACUGGUAAGCUAGAGUGCGGUAGAGGCUAGUGGAAUUCCAUGUGUAGCGGUAAAAUGCGUAGAUAUAUGGAGGAACACCGGUGGCGAAGGCGGCUAGCUGGGCCGUAACUGACGCUGAGGCACGAAAGCGUGGGGAGCAAACAGG